UGGUCCCGAGCCCGCGGCGCCACUCCCCGCGUGACCAGGCCGCGGACCGCGAUAGGAGCGGGCUGGCCGGGUGGGGCGGGGUCUCGCCGCCACCGCCCCUGGGCCCCGAGGCUUCCCCUGGUCUCCCGGCCGGCGAGUAGGCGGCAGCGGGAGCUGCUGCCCGCCGGGCCCCGAGUGAGUGGACGCUGCGCCCCCGACCAGCGGCGGGCGAGUGGCCGCCGCCGCGCCGAGGCCGUGGAGGAAGCGCCGAGGCUCUCGGGGCUUCUGUUCCGUCACCGCGGACGCCUCCCCCUCCCUCGGGGACCCGCCUGGCUGACGAACUGCCCCGCACCUGCCCACCGGGCGAGGCGGGCGGGUGGGGGAGGCCCCGAGAGGGCCAGGUAGGAAAAGGCUCCGGGUCUAGACCCCCGACCAGCAGGGUGGGGUGAGCCCCUGGGGCAGGGGCGUGGCCCGGCGCGAACAGGCCGGUGAGCGUCGCUCCCGGCAAGGAAGGAGAGGGCGGGUGGGCUUGAGGCCGUCUGGCCGCCGGACUUAUCUAUGAAGCACUCUCGUUUCCAAGUGGGAGGCUUAAGGAAAUGGUCUUUCUGCCGGCCAGAGAUAGCUUUUCCACGUCCUGCCAACCGCCGAAAUGUCUCCAGAGGAGCAUCGAUCCAGUAGUUCCUCUCUCAAGCCACACAUCGAGGUGGAAUCUCACGGCUGCAGACUUUCCGUGGUACUGCGGUACCGUCUCUAGGCUUUGGGUCAAGAUGCUGCCCCGUCUUGGUGACUGUUUCGUUGUUGUUGUUGUUGACAGCGUCGUCCUUACUUCAAAGUUCUCGGGCCAAAUGCCCUGAACGUGGGUGGGCGGAAUCAGAUCAUUUUCACUCAGCACCAGUCACGUGGCACCAAUACAGUAACUUCAGUAUUACCGGCUUCUCUUCUCUUGGGACUUGCCAGAGUUUUACUUUGGUCUGUAUCUUCCUCAGCUUACAAAUGUGAGGGGAAAGACAGUUCAUUUAUGUCUACAGCAAUUGAAAGGUACUGUGGGUCUGUUCAAAUCACCAUCAUGCAAAAUGCUAACCAAAGCCCCAUAAGAGUACUUUGGAACAGCUGGGCUCAGCCUCCCUGGACCAGUUUCCUCACUUGUGAAAUGAAGAAGCUGAAUUACAAGUUCUCUUAGGUUCUUCCAGCUCAAAAUUCUUAAGAUUCUACGACUUUUAUAAGAUAAGGAGACUUGGAUGCAAAUGGUAAACUGAAUUGCCACCCUACGAAGUGGCAAGUCUCCAGUUAGGACCCUGGACUCCUGAUUCACGUUGCCGGAUCCCAAUCUGGAUACCAUUAGGGGAUAAGAUACGCGACUCUCCCCAUGUCUGCUCCCUGGUUUAUCCAACCUUAAAUUGAAAAUUCCAUAUUUACUUGUAGAAUGCUUUGAGAAUACCCAAGUGAAUAUCAUUAAGAUAUGUGAUGUGUGGGCUGCUACCUUGCAUCUUUCGGAAAAAAGGUUGAGAUUCACACAUGAAACAUCUUCACAUUGAGCAUCUGAACCGAAAGAGAACUUGGAGGUCUCCAUCCACUCAUCUACUUUAAAAGUCAUAACAGAGAAAAUGAAACACUUCUGAAAUGAAAAUUAUUUUGUUUAGAACCUCACUUCCUUUCUGCAUUAGGGACAGGUGAAGCAGAAACAGAGCAGGAACCAGGAGAAAAGGAGAAAUGAAGUGAUAGGAAGAGACAUGGAGAGAAAGAUACAGCACAGAAAGAAGAUCCACCGGAAGAGACUGAGAUAGAUACAGGGAAUAAAAAGGCCAAGAUACAGCCUUCAACACAGGAAAACAGGCAUAGAGAUACGGAUCCAGAGAUUGGAAUUCACAACAAGCGAACAAGAGGAAAAGGGCUGUAAGACGUAGAGAAAGAUGAAAUGAGGCAGACAAAGAGAAAGAAAGUGACGGCCGUUAAUGGAACAUCACUCCCUUCAGGCUACCACCAGCAAAAGCCAGACAGCAUGGCAAGGAGGCAGCUUGCUCUGAGGACUCAGAGUGUGGCCAGGAGGAAGUUAGUUGCCUUCCUUUUUUUUUUCUCUUGUACUUUGCACUCAGUAAAAACACCUGAUCAACACCUUUCACUGAUACCUGCAUUUGUGUUUCCCCUCCAGACUGAAUGCUCCUGAUGGGCAGGUGGGGCCUCUCUAUCCAGGAGGCAGCCAUGGCAUUCAGCUCCAGGGUUAGGAGUAGAGGACCUGAGCGCCCGUUUUGGCUCUGCUACUCAGAAGCUGUGUGACAUGGAGAAAACUACCUACCCUUCCCUGUAAAUGGGAGUUCCUCUACCUAACUCACAGGGUGGCUGUGAGAAUUAGGUGAGAUCUUUUCAAAAAUACAUGUAAACUAUAUGCAGGGCAGGGACUUCCCUGGCGGUCCAGUGGUUAAGACUCCACACUUCCACUGCAGGGGGCGCAGGUUCGAUCCCUGGACCAGGAACUAAGAUCCCACAUGCCACUUGGCG
Molecule: long non-coding RNA, 2475 nt
Organism: Physeter macrocephalus (sperm whale)
Lineage: Eukaryota; Metazoa; Chordata; Mammalia; Artiodactyla; Physeteridae
Exons: 3
Source: RefSeq, a predicted model, not a curated record